Molecule: ribosomal RNA, 330 nt
Filed under: uncultured bacterium
Lineage: Bacteria
Description: bacterial SSU rRNA
Rfam family: Bacterial small subunit ribosomal RNA
Source: RNAcentral
UUCGUAGGCGGUGCGGUAAGUCGGAAGUGAAAUCUCUGGGCUUAACUCAGAGGCUGCUUUCGAAACUACCGCGCUAGAGUGCGGGAGAGGCGAGUGGAAUUGCAGGUGUAGCGGUGAAAUGCGUAGAUAUCUGCAGGAACACCCGUGGCGAAGGCGGCUCGCUGGACCGCAACUGACGCUGAGGAACGAAAGCUAGGGGAGCAAACAGGAUUAGAUACCCUGGUAGUCCUAGCCCUAAACCAUCAGGACUUGGGGUGGCCCGCGUUGGCGGGUCGUCCCGGAGCUAACGCGUUAAGUCCUGCGCCUGGGGAGUACGGUCGCAAGGCUGAA